AGAGUUUGAUCCUGGNUCAGAUUGAACGCUGGCGGCAUGCCUAACACAUGCAAGUCGAACGGAAACGAUGGGAGCUUGCUCCCAGGCGUCGAGUGGCGGACGGGUGAGUAAUACUUAGGAAUCUACCCAGUAGCGGGGGACAACUCGAGGAAACUCGAGCUAAUACCGCAUACGCCCUACGGGGGAAAGCAGGGGAUCUUCGGACCUUGCACUAUUGGAUGAGCCUAAGUCGGAUUAGCUUGUUGGUGAGGUAAAGGCUCACCAAGGCGACGAUCCGUAGCUGGUCUGAGAGGACGAUCAGCCACACUGGGACUGAGACACGGCCCAGACUCCUACGGGAGGCAGCAGUGGGGAAUAUUGGACAAUGGGGGCAACCCUGAUCCAGCAAUGCCGCGUGUGUGAAGAAGGCCUGCGGGUUGUAAAGCACUUUCAGUAGAGAAGAAAAGCCUACGGUUAAUACCCGUGAGUCUUGACGUUACCUACAGAAGAAGCUCCGGCUAACUCCGUGCCAGCAGCCGCGGUAAUACGGAGGGGGCGAGCGUUAAUCGGAAUUACUGGGCGUAAAGCGCGCGUAGGCGGCUUUGUAAGUCGGAUGUGAAAGCCCUGGGCUCAACCUGGGAAUGGCAUUCGAUACUGCAGAGCUAGAGUAUGGUAGAGGGAAGUGGAAUUUCCGGUGUAGCGGUGAAAUGCGUAGAUAUCGGAAGGAACACCAGUGGCGAAGGCGACUUCCUGGGCCAAUACUGACGCUGAGGUGCGAAAGCGU
This 763-nucleotide ribosomal RNA is filed under the name uncultured sediment bacterium. RNAcentral describes it as "bacterial SSU rRNA". It matches the Rfam family "Bacterial small subunit ribosomal RNA", at positions 8 to 762 of the family's 1533-position model. The record is from RNAcentral.